GAUGUCACAUUAUUUUCAAAGAGAAGUGCCAGUGUAAACAAAUAUUCUAUGUGAAAUACAGAAUUUAUUGAGAAUAUUACAAGAAAAUUGUUUAAAAAAUAAAGAUCAGUUCACUCAGGAGUUUUAAAGAAGUUUGUGAAACCCUGAACAAAGAAUAUAUAAAUCUUGUGAAGCAUGUGGAAACUUGAUUGCUUACCCAAAGAAGAGUUCUCAAUAGGGUAUUUGAGCUGAAAGGUAAGUUGAAGAAAUCAUUUGCUAGGAAACUAUUGCUCAGGUUGUGUUGAGUGCUUUAAAGAUGAGUCAUGGCUACAAAAACUAAAGUAUCUCUCAGACAUUUUUGAUCCCCUGAAAUUACUGAGUAGGAAUCCACUCUGCACUGUGCACUGUAGUUUUUGUUUGUUUGUUUGUUUGUUUUUGCCUUUGAGUGACAAUAGCCCUGGUUUUCUGGUUUUUAAAGAAAAGUUAUUUGGAAAAAUCUUCAGAAAAUCUGUGGAAAAAUCAUUUUGCAACAGGAAAUGUUGAAAUGUUUCCACAACUUCUUGGACUUGGGAUGGAGAAAGAAAAUCAUAAUAUCUUGUCUUACUACAAACGACCUGAAAGGACUUCAGAUCAAAAUUGAAGAGUCAUUUACUCCCUUUUCAAUACAACUGCAUGGCUGGGUGAGAGAAAUCGAACUUUUUUUAGCCUGAAAUCUUGACUUUAGCAAUGAAAAAAAGAACUUUGUGCUGAUCAUUCACCUUAGAUGAAAUUUGCUGAUCUUCUCUUCUUUAGGUCUGGAUUUCUAUGAAAAAGGGUGUCCUAGCAAUGAACAUUUUGCUGUAGUUUUCCACAUUUUAUGUAGAAAGGAUUCUAAAAGGUUUGAUCUAAAGAACCAUUUUGAAAUACGUUACAUCACAAUAUCCCAGAGAAUAAUGCAAUUCCCCAAGAGAACUGAGUAUGGAGCUGGCAAUCUCUGAGGAUCUGUGGAACUUUUACCCUUUUGAAUGGAACGCAUCCUAUGAAACUUGGACUACUUCGAAUCUCCACCCAUGUAUAGUUUCACUCUCGUUGCCCAGGCUGGAGUGCAAUGGUGCAAUCUUGGCUCAUCACAACCUGCGCCUACCAGGUUCAAGCGAUUCUCCAUCCUCAGCCUUCUGAGUAGUUGGUCUUUUUUUUUUAAUUAAAACUUGAUGUUUUCAUUUAUUCUGGUAAUAACUAUACCUGCUUUUCCAUAUACUUAGAUUUUACUGCCACAAGAAAAUAUAAAUAUUUCUGAAAUGUAUAAAUUUAUAUUUAAGGCUUUGUAAAGUCAUUCUGUCAAUUCUACCAAUUUUAUAUUAAAUUUAAAACUAAAAUUGAUAAAAUUUACUUUGUAAUAAUGAAUAGUAAAUAUUCGAUUUUUUCUCUUUUUCCACAUACUUGGAGUUUAGGAGACUUUCAGAGUUAAAUUUUAGAGUUAAUUCUAGAGUGAAAUAAUUCUUUCAGAGUUACAGACUACUGUAACUGUAUAGAAUAUGACUAUUAUAUGCCAAGUACCCCUCUAAAAGUAUGAUAUGUUCUAAGUAAUUAAUGCUUCAUAACUACCUAACAUGGAAAAUUACUAUUGUUCUUAUUUUCACAGAUGAAACUGAGACACAAAGAGUUUGCACAAUUUUCACAUUUUACACAGCU
This 1650-nucleotide long non-coding RNA is filed under the name Callithrix jacchus (white-tufted-ear marmoset). RNAcentral describes it as "lncRNA (ENSCJAG00000053737.2)". The record is from RNAcentral. Lineage: Eukaryota; Metazoa; Chordata; Mammalia; Primates; Cebidae.